Molecule: long non-coding RNA, 2380 nt
Organism: Rhincodon typus (whale shark)
Lineage: Eukaryota; Metazoa; Chordata; Chondrichthyes; Orectolobiformes; Rhincodontidae
Exons: 3
Source: RefSeq, a predicted model, not a curated record
GUUGAAUUUUUUUCUGUAACCUGCCUCAUUACUUUAUACGUCAACAAGCACAUGCAUGCAGUUGCAACCAUGCAUGGAUCAGAUCUUUAUUGAGAUACGAUACCACAUGAUCCACUGUGUUUCCGGUCAUUGUUGCAACUUCAUACCUUUCAAUCCGGAAUGUGUUCCAAUGCAUCACUGAUUCCAGAACAAGUAAAACAUCUCAUGGUUCAUUCAUGUAUAUCUUAUUCUACCUUUGAUUUCUAGACUUAUUGUCUACUACCAAAUCAACACCUCAAACAUUUGAGAGUAACUUUACCACCGUGGAGCCAAAGGAAUCCCAUCUCAGUCACUUGAUUCCAGUGCCAUGUUAAAACCGAUGUUAUAUUAGCAUGAAUGCAAAUAAUUACAUUAACACACUACUGCUCAUUACAGAUACAGCUUGAAAUUUCUCCCGUUUCUUCAGCCCCUUGUCAAAGGUGACAUCCUUAUCUUGGGUCCACUUAAAUAAUGUGUCUCACUAUUUAACUUAAUCUUUGCUAAUGCCAUAAUGUCCAGGAUAUCAUAGUACAUUAGUAAUAUGGGCCCUCAAUCCUGCAGUAUAUGUUUACAGCCCUUUUACGUUACCUUAAAAUGCUAGACUAUAAUCUCAUGAUCAAAAAUAUUUUGAUCCCGAGUUUUGUACUUGUAAAUUCAGUGCUCAUUUUUCCUAUAUCUGUUUGGAUAGUUUAGUAGAAUUGUUGCUCAAAACAUGCCCUAUACUUGGAUGUGUUUGAUCGAUCCAUUCCAUUCCUUUUUUACCCUGGUAGAGUGGUAGUGCAUACUGAUGCAAACUGUAUUAGGAACUUUUCAAAGCAGUAGCUAUACAUAGCAUCGGACUAGUUUUUCCUUUGGUCAUUGUUUAAAUUUGAGGUCAUUUUUAGUAUAGUGGCAACCAGGUACCAAGUCUUGAUUUGGUCUCACUGCAAAGUCCUUGCUCUGUAUCUCAAUCUUUACAUCCUGCGAAUAAAACACAUUUUUGUUCAGGUCAAUAAAACCUCGAGGAAAAAAAAAUUGAACAGGAUUUCACAAUCAGUUGUUGGUUUACGUCUUCUCAUUGGUCUAUGAGAGUGAACCACUGGAACUUGGGGACAAGAUGAACAUGUACCUUACACAAUCUGUCCACUAUAGUUGCAGUAUUUCAUGACAAGCCUCAAAGUGUUAACCAACCAUGUAAUAACAUUUUUUUUGCCAUUGAAUGUAAUGAUUUAGAGACUAACUCCAUGAACAAUUACAUCGUUGAAGUUUAUCUAUGAGCUGACAAAGUCAAGCCAACUGGUGCUAGCAGUUUGCAGUUGGUUUUGUAUUAAUCUCUAAUGGGUUGUCUUCCUUUUUUUUAACCUUCCCUUUCAUCUCUGUGAUCUGAAUAUCUGACUGAGGCAGAUGACGAGCCAGUUUCUGGACCAAUGAAAACUAAUUCGACAAACAAUCAUAAAGACAAGAACUUGCGUCAGAGAAACACCAACUAAUCCUUGGUUAUCAGAACUUUGAAUUUCUGAAGAUCAUUAUCAAAUAGCAUGGCUAUCAGUCAAGGACUCUGGAGAUUGUUGGUCUGAAUGGAUGGGUUUUGACCUUCCCACUGUCUAAGCAGGAAUAAGAUGGCUGUGCGAAGCAUGUUUUGCCUUAUUCAAUCUCUUCUAAAGAAUAAAGUAUUAAAAAGAUUGCUUUGCAAAUUUAUUUCUGAUUAUUUCAAAUCGAUAGGGUGUACUUUGAGUGCUUGAUAUGCUAUUUAUUGAUGCUUGAUUGUCUUCCCCCACCCUCCUCCACCCCUUCUUCUUCCUGCGUUUCUGUUUAUGUGGAUGCAUGCAAUGUUUAUUAUUUCUCGUGUGCUCAUUCAUACACUGUUCAUCACGUGGCACUCCUAACUCCAUGAUUCCUUUUGUUCUGUCCUGGAACACUUGCUAAAUAACUGCAUCACUCAUAUGGUAUUUGAUUUGAAUUUGUAUAUAUUGCAAAUGUUAGUGUCCAGCAAAUCAGAAGCAUAUAAAUAAAUGAUGUAUUGCACUGACCUGGUAGAGGUUAAGGCUAAAGUAUAUAUAUCUCUUCCACUGCCAUUUCAUGAGCCCUAUUCUUGAUGUCACAUUCUAGCACAGUCAUUGCAUGGUAGUUUUCUAUGCAAGCUUGAAAAAGCAAUUUAUUAUCUGUCUCCUUUUCUCCUUUCAAAUUACUGUUCUGAAAUCCGCCCUGUGUUUCGUUUGGACACUAAUAAAACUUUAAUGUUGUGACUUUCUUUCAAAAGUAAUUUUGGGUGUGUAAAUGCAUGAGAUUGCACAUUUACCUGUGGUUAUUAUAAUCAUUAAUAUAACUCCAUGUACAGUAUGUUGACCCACUGAUUUUUAAAAAUAAACAAUGACAUUGAAAA